AGAUGCCCCAGCAUUGUCGUCGUCAGGAGGGAAGGUGGUGUAGUAACCACCGGAUGCUGAACCGGAGCCUCCAUACCAUGGCUGGCUCUCAACCUCGUCAAUCUCGUGCUCACUGUCAGAAGAAGCGAGGGAUGGGGAUUUGUUGCCGGAAGUGGAAGGUUGAGUGGGUGGGUUCCUCCACUUACGCUGAAGCUGCGCAGUAGUGAG
RNAcentral lists this long non-coding RNA (207 nucleotides) under Brassica rapa (field mustard). RNAcentral describes it as "long non-coding RNA (BRAP_LNC003706)". Lineage: Eukaryota; Viridiplantae; Streptophyta; Magnoliopsida; Brassicales; Brassicaceae. The record is from RNAcentral.